UACGGAGGAUCCAAGCGUUAUCCGGAAUCAUUGGGUUUAAAGGGUCCGUAGGCGGUUUAGUAAGUCAGUGGUGAAAGUUUUCGGCUCAACCGGAAAAUUGCCAUUGAUACUGCAAGACUUGAAUUAUUGUGAAGUGGUUAGAAUGUGUAGUGUAGCGGUGAAAUGCAUAGAUAUUACACAGAAUACCGAUUGCGAAGGCAGAUCACUAACAAUUAAUUGACGCUAAGGGACGAAAGCGUGGGUAGCGAACAGG
RNAcentral lists this ribosomal RNA (253 nucleotides) under uncultured bacterium. Its description in RNAcentral is "partial 16S ribosomal RNA". It matches the Rfam family "Bacterial small subunit ribosomal RNA", at positions 524 to 776 of the family's 1533-position model. The record is from RNAcentral.